ACUUGGAUAACCGUAGUAAUUCUAGAGCUAAUACAUGCAUCAAACCCCGACUGCUUGGAAGGGGUGUAUUUUUUAAAUGAAAACCAAGGCGGGGAAACCCGAAUUUGGGGGUUCCUAAUAAUUUUUCGAAUCGCUCCCAAAACCAAGGCUCCUUUCAGUUUUCUCCCCUCUCACUUUGGUAGGGAGGGGAUUGGCCCUCCCUGGCUUUUAACGGGAAAGGAAAAUUAAGGUUCCAUUCCCGGAAAGGAACCCGGAAAAAGGCUUCCCCCUCCAAGGAAGGGAGCCGGGCGCGAAAUUUCCCCAUCCUUGACCCGGGGGGGAAGGGAAAAAAAAAAACAUGGCGGGGCUUUUUAAUUUGGGAUUUGAAAAGAAAAAAUUUUAAAUCCCUUUUAUCGAAAAUCUUU
This 404-nucleotide ribosomal RNA is filed under the name uncultured picoeukaryote. RNAcentral's name for it is "partial 18S ribosomal RNA". It matches the Rfam family "Eukaryotic small subunit ribosomal RNA", at positions 137 to 548 of the family's 1831-position model. The record is from RNAcentral.